This 438-nucleotide small RNA is filed under the name Histoplasma capsulatum var. duboisii H88. RNAcentral describes it as "Histoplasma capsulatum H88 hypothetical RNA". Lineage: Eukaryota; Fungi; Ascomycota; Eurotiomycetes; Onygenales; Ajellomycetaceae. The record is from RNAcentral.
UCUGCAUUAAUACCUGUUUUGCCUACUGCCUCGUCUCUGAACACAAAAACUGCAGACGACACAGUGGAAGUGUCGUUCCCCGCAUUUGCCUUCACUUCCGGAUCGCCUACCACUAUAUCUACGCCUUUACUUUCGCUGGUAACCUCUGACUCACAGCUGUUGUCAGAACAAUCAACAAUCACACCAGCCUCCACUGUAUCAUCUUCUUUCCAGUCUGCCUCUCCGUCUGUUUCUCCGUCUGCCUCUCCUUCCGUCUCCGCACCCACUUCUCCAGCUGCAAGACAAACGCGAACAAGCAUCGUAGUUGUGACGGCAAGUCCUACUAGCACUGCCACAAGCAGUUCUGGUGAACUUGUCGGAGCAGCUAGAGAGGCGGAUAAUGACCGUUCUGCUGGUGCUAGUUUGUACGGAUCUGCGUACGGAGCCAUGUUUCUGGGG